GUUUGAUCCUGGCUCAGGACGAACGCUGGCGGCGUGCUUAACACAUGCAAGUCGAACGAAGAACCUUCCUUCGGGAGGGGGACGAGUGGCGAACGGGUGAGUAACACGUGGGCAACCUGCCCCUCGCUCUGGGAUAACCCCGGGAAACCGGGGCUAAUACCAGAUAUUCAGUUCCGCAGGCAUCUGUGGAGUUGGAAAGGAUUCUGGCGAGGGGAUGGGGCCCGCGGCCUAUCAGCUUGUGGUGGGGUAAUGGCCUACCAAGGCGACGACGGGUAACCGGCCUGAGAGGGCGACCGGGUCACACUGGGACUGAGACACGGCCCAGACUCCUACGGGAGGCAGCAGUGGGGAAUAUUGCGCAAUGGGCGAAGCCUGACGCAGCAACGCCGCGUGAGGGAUGAAGUACGUCGAGGAUGUAAACC
Molecule: ribosomal RNA, 422 nt
Filed under: uncultured bacterium
Lineage: Bacteria
Description: bacterial SSU rRNA
Rfam family: Bacterial small subunit ribosomal RNA
Source: RNAcentral